AAUUUCUUUAUCUGCAGAUGUCAACAGUGCCUCAUCCUCUUUAUUUCCACCAGAAUUUAUAUGGUGGGCCAGGGCUUGGUGAGCGGUGGUAAUUUCCUGUGCAGUAUAUACUGCCCUACUUGUGAGGAGCAUAUUGCUGUUCAAGGGUCAACAUGCAAACACAUGGGGGCAUUACUGAAACCAAUGGAUGUUACCUGGAGAAGCCAGCCUGAAAAUAUCUGGUGCAGUGGCGUUAUGAGGAGUCUUUCAUGGAGCAUGGACUACUCAUCAUCUGUGAAGCCCAGGGCAAGGAGAUCAACAUCUGUCAAGGCAGCUUGUGGAUCUCGCUCGGCUGACCUGCUCCUAGUUAAACUGGUGAAAAGUAUAAAAAUCAACUAUUUAAAGCCUGGACAAGCAGCAAAUGAAGAAACUUCAGUUCAAGAAAAUCUAUGAAAUUCCAGCAAUAGAAGUGAAAGUCUGUGACAUUUGACCCAAGCCUGCUCCCUCCUUUGCCCAUCCCAGCUCUACAGGGCAGAGGCUCCACUCUGACUGCCACUGCAAGAACACGGCUCCCUCUCCUGCCUGCAGCAACCUGUUCCUGAGGCGAAGUCCUGGGUCAGUGUGAUCGAGAGAUGGGGCUUUCUUCUUCUACCCACACGCUACUCAUGCAAGAAAGGCUCUCCCUUGGGCACAGUGGGCUAAUACUUGAGCAGGGAUUGCCUUUGCCUUGUCUUGUGAAGUGGUGCUGCUGCACCAGGACAGGCAAGCUGAGACAACAUCCGGCUGCUUCCUCAUUCUCCAUCAGUGUCAUCUUCUGCAGUGGGGGUGUCAUUCAGAGAGAAGCUUAGCAAGACUGCACCACCAGCUCCAGAAACCUAGCUCAGCGAUUUUGUUUGGGGGAAGAAGCAGGAGGUAAAACAGGUGGCUCUGUUUCUCUUCCCAAAGGAAUACACUUCAUUUGCAACAGAGUAUGGAGAAGUUCACACCGAAGAGUAAUCUCAAGAACAGUGGAAGUGAUGGUGAAAUGCAAUUGGGGGAGAUUCCUGGUUUCAAU
RNAcentral lists this long non-coding RNA (1033 nucleotides) under Equus caballus (horse). Its description in RNAcentral is "lncRNA (ENSECAG00000031681.3)". Lineage: Eukaryota; Metazoa; Chordata; Mammalia; Perissodactyla; Equidae. The record is from RNAcentral.